AAUUUUGGAAAUUGAGGGGAAAAAAUGAAGUUGACCCCUAUUCAGAAGUGAUCAAGAACUGCAGCUUCAAGACCCCAUACUGCUGAGCAGGGGUCAAUAUCACAAACAGGAGGAUGGAAGGUAUUCCAGCAAAGUUUCACCAAAUAGAACUGGGGACUCCUGGAGGUGGCUAUUAGGCAAGGAAGGAUAAUAAAGGUUAACAGUUCCCAGACCCCAGCUAUACACUGCGGAUUCUCAAUCAUAUUACUGCUGAUGUACACUCCUUCUGUACCACUUUAAGGGUUAUAUUUUAAAGGUAAUGUUCUAGAAUGCUGUGGUAAAUAUAUAUGAGGAAAAAUGCAACCAUUUAUGUAAUAAACUCAAGGCAGGUUUUGAAGGAGGUUGAAGCAAGAGUAUGAAAUAAUAAAACACUUAGAGACUUAUUCUUUGAUGCUUUGCCCUUGUGAGGGAAUUGCCUGUUCUGCAAGUGUAUAAUAAAACAGAAGUAGCCGGGACUGUGUGAGGUAAAAUGCAUAAAAGGGAGAACAGCUUGUAAAGGAAAUAAAUCUUGGCGCUUUACUGAAGACCAUUUAAAUGUUUAUUAUGUAUUUAUUUAUUAAAGAUUGCCAAAGUCUGCUGAGAGUGGGGUAUAAUAAGCAUCUCCAGAUGCUCCUUACUAGAGCAACUCCAAACAUAUAACAACUUCUGAUAAAUCCUAAAAACAAUUUAAGGCGGGCUGUAAUGAACUCAGGUCUUAGAAGAGGUGACCACAGUAAGAAAUAGACAACAUACACAUUUCUAUGAAAAGGGUAGUAGUAAAUGCAACAGUGUUUCUCACAUGAAAUUAACUAAAACAGUAUAUCCUUCUAGUACUUUUUAUAAAGGUACAUGCUACAAGGCUGACUGUGAGGAAAACAUAAUACAGUUGGCAUCCCUCUCUGCUGUGCUAAGGGCUGAAUCACUCUUGUACCCUGGUUUUAAGUCUAGAUGGCUGUUAUGAAUCCAAAGCUGUCUGAUGUGCUUGUAUUUGAAAAGUUGAUGAAAUCCGGUCUUCAGAAAACAAAGGGAGAGUGCUCUUUUAAAACUGCUUUGGCUUUUUCUCAGUAUUGCCGCAUUUAAUUUAAUGUUGUUUCUAUGCUGAAGACGUUCUCCUCAACCUGAUUUUUACGGCAGCAGUAGUGCUGUUGUCACUGUUAUGAUCAAGGGAUAUAAACAGGACAAGAAGAG
This 1206-nucleotide long non-coding RNA is filed under the name Gallus gallus (chicken). Its description in RNAcentral is "lncRNA (ENSGALG00010018878.1)". Lineage: Eukaryota; Metazoa; Chordata; Aves; Galliformes; Phasianidae. The record is from RNAcentral.